GUGUCAUAAAGUACGCCCGGAUAAUCCGGAAAAUGUCAUUCGUUCGGAAACGUCAAGACAAAUAUGUCCACAUUCGA
Molecule: small RNA, 77 nt
Filed under: Staphylococcus aureus
Lineage: Bacteria; Bacillati; Bacillota; Bacilli; Caryophanales; Staphylococcaceae
Description: HMPRFS0000_0203
Source: RNAcentral